GGAAAAUAACGCUACAGGACAACACAAGGAGGAGUAAAGCAAGUUCCUUUGCUAAUGGAAAAAGUCUCCUAAAAUAAGUUUGAGAAUUGGGAAAGAUCCCUGUCUCUGUGAUGCUGCUGAAGCCAGCCAGCCAGCCAGCCAGCCAGUGUUGACCACGCACCGGUUCUGCUGACGCCAGGCAUCCAAGGAGCCCAAGGUCAUUUUGCCACACAGCUGGAGGACCAAAGAUCUGUAAAUGGACACAUGCAAAUGGAAAAUGAAUGAUAUCAUCCUCAACCAGGGAAAGAUUCUUGAGGACCAGGAGAGAAGAAGCAAAGAACCCCAACUAGGAAAGGAGGAUAAAAUUCUAUAAGGAUCCCUGCAGGGGAUCUAUGUGGUGCUUCCAUGGCUGUGUCCCUAGGAAGUGGCUAGCUCUCAGGAGAUGACUGUGUCUCUCACAGCCUCAUCAAAGUUCCUGUGACCUGGAGGUAGCAAUAUGAUAAAAGCCAAAGGAAUAAAGAGCACCAGAACAAUGGACAGCUUGAUGGUAAUGAGUGUUGACAGACAACCUCUGAGCCAGGAAGAGGACUGCUUGACACCACCUUGGAGAAUAACCAGAGUGACCAGAGAAGAGAGAGCAAAGUGAAGAGUAGUGCAAAAUAAACUGAAAGGGAAACCUUCUUGUUAUCUGGGUCUGUCCUGAUAAUCUACUCAGCAUAUAGGCAGCAAGAAGGCUGGGUUGAUUUCAUCCAUCAUUACCCUCAGAGAAAUGGUUUUCUUCCUGAAAGUGAAUGCCAUGGGGUCUUGUCAUCUACUUGUGUCCUCCUUUCCUUCUUGCUGUCUCCCCUCUCUUCUUUCCAUUUAAAGAAGUAUGCCCAUAACCAAUAUUUAUUGAGGUCUUCCUAGGAAACAGAAUUAUCAGGCUAUGCCACUUAAAACUUGUGUAGCUUUGUGUUAGUCACCUAAUCAAGCCUCAUUUUACUCAUUAAUAAAGAGAAUAGUAAUAAUAAUCCUUCCCAAGAGGACUACAGAGAAGGAUACUGUCUGUGAAGCACCUAUCACAGAAUCUGGCUGAAUACAUGGUAGUCAAUACAAUGCAUGGUAGCCAUCAUCAUGGUUCAUUGUGCUGACAGGCAAUAGACAUUGGGCCUGAAUGGUUAACAAGCCAAGAUUCCUGAUUUCAUGAAAUAUUCAGACCUUUUACUUCUACCUUGACUUAGAUUCCCUGGUCUGAUAUGCCUCCUGGCUAGGCUAUAAUACAUUUCUGAAUGAGUAUAUUCUUAUACUCUUAUGAUAAUGUAUCCAAAGAAUGGCAAAUGAUAUGUAAAGGCUUAAAAAAAGAUGAACCUACCACAAGACAUUUUAUUAAAGCAGGAAGAAAUUUUCAGUUGAAAAAAUAUUAGUUGAAAAAAGUAUUAAGGAUGCCCCGGUGGCCCAGUGGUUUAGUGCCUCCCUUCCGCCCAGGCUUUGACCCUGGAGACCUGGGAUCGAG
This is a long non-coding RNA of Canis lupus familiaris (dog), 1471 nucleotides long. RefSeq lists it as uncharacterized. NCBI's taxonomy places the organism in Eukaryota, Metazoa, Chordata, Mammalia, Carnivora, Canidae. The transcript has 3 exons. The record is from RefSeq and is a predicted model, not a curated record.